This 243-nucleotide long non-coding RNA is filed under the name Manihot esculenta (cassava). RNAcentral describes it as "long non-coding RNA (MESC_LNC012750)". The record is from RNAcentral. Lineage: Eukaryota; Viridiplantae; Streptophyta; Magnoliopsida; Malpighiales; Euphorbiaceae.
AAGAGAAAGACCGGUUGACCCAUUCUACGUCCCGGCAUGUUGGAAUGUAGAGGACUAUUGGUGACAACACCAUCCUUGAUGUGAUUUGUUUGUGCUGUGUUGCAUUUCAUGAAAGCAUGAAAUAUAAAUUGAAUAUGUUUAAUUAUUCUGCUCACUGGGCUUUAUAGCUCACCCCUCUCCCUUAACCCCCAGGUUUGCAGGUACAGGGUAGACCAGGAGGUCAGUAGGAGUAGAGUCAUGUGU